GACGAACGCUGGCGGCGUGCUUAACACAUGCAAGUCGAACGGAAAGGCCCUGCUUUUGUGGGGUGCUCGAGUGGCGAACGGGUGAGUAACACGUGAGUAACCUGCCCUUGACUUUGGGAUAACUUCAGGAAACUGGGGCUAAUACCGGAUAGGAGCUCCUGCUGCAUGGUGGGGGUUGGAAAGUUUCGGCGGUUGGGGAUGGACUCGCGGCUUAUCAGCUUGUUGGUGGGGUAGUGGCUUACCAAGGCUUUGACGGGUAGCCGGCCUGAGAGGGGGACCGGCCCAAUUGGGACUGGGGUACCGGCCCGACCUCUACGGGAGGCAGCAGUGGGGAAUAUUGCACAAUGGGCGGAAGCCUGAUGCAGCAACGCCGCGUGCGGGAUGACGGCCUUCGGGUUGUAAACCGCUUUCGCCUGUGACGAAGCGUGAGUGACGGUAAUGGGUAAAGAAGCACCGGCUAACUACGUG
This 468-nucleotide ribosomal RNA is filed under the name uncultured bacterium. RNAcentral describes it as "partial 16S ribosomal RNA". It matches the Rfam family "Bacterial small subunit ribosomal RNA", at positions 28 to 507 of the family's 1533-position model. The record is from RNAcentral.